RNAcentral lists this ribosomal RNA (609 nucleotides) under Russula aff. compacta JET1103. Its description in RNAcentral is "LSU rRNA". It matches the Rfam family "Eukaryotic large subunit ribosomal RNA", at positions 81 to 659 of the family's 3401-position model. Lineage: Eukaryota; Fungi; Basidiomycota; Agaricomycetes; Russulales; Russulaceae. The record is from RNAcentral.
UAGUAACUGCGAGUGAAGCGGGAAAAGCUCAAAUUUAAAAUCUGAUGGCCCUUGGCCGUCCGAGUUGUAAUCUAGAGAAGCGUCUUCCGCGCUGGACCGUGCACAAGUCUCCUGGAAUGGAGCGUCAUAGAGGGUGAGAAUCCCGUCUUUGGCACGGAUGCACCAGGGCUUCCGUGAUGCGCUCUCGAAGAGUCGAGUUGUUUGGGAAUGCAGCUCAAAAUGGGUGGUGAACUCCAUCUAAAGCUAAAUAUUGGCGAGAGACCGAUAGCGAACAAGUACCGUGAGGGAAAGAUGAAAAGCACUUUGGAAAGAGAGUGAAACAGUACGUGAAAUUGUUGAAAGGGAAACGCUUGAAGUCAGUCGCGUCGACCGAGACUCAGCCUUGCCCUUGGCUUGGUGUACUUCUCGGCUGACGGGUCAGCAUCAAUUUUGCCCCUCGGAUAAUGGCAGGGGAAAGGUGGCACCUUUACGGGUGUGUUAUAGUCUCCUGUCGCAUGCGAGGGUCGGGAUUGAGGAACUCAGCACGCGCCUCUCGGUGUCGGGGCCUUUUGGCCCACGCUUACGUGCUUAGGAUGCUGGCGUAAUGGCUUUAAACGACCCGUCUUGAAA